Molecule: long non-coding RNA, 1252 nt
Organism: Peromyscus maniculatus bairdii (prairie deer mouse)
Lineage: Eukaryota; Metazoa; Chordata; Mammalia; Rodentia; Cricetidae
Source: RefSeq, a predicted model, not a curated record
UUUGAAGAAGAAUUCUGUGUGGUUUACUUACCUGUUUCUUUUUUCCCUUCUUUUAAAGCCUACAGCACCUGGUAAUCCUAGGCGGUCUCCCAUUCAAAUACUAACCAGUCCCGGCCCUGCUUAGCUUCUGAGAUGAGAAGAGAUUGGAGAGUCUCACUGUGUAGCCCAAGCUGUCUUCAAACACAAGUCAAGUAUCGUACUUUCCUCAAAUCCCGAAGUUCUGGAGUUCCAGAUGCACGCCACCACAUCCAGCUGUUUCAGACUUCAGAGCUGGACAGUGACAGCGAGGAUGGCUGACUUCACCUUGCCUCGUCUGAUUGUGGAACCUGCUUGUGCUUCAGCGUGUAGGCUCCACAAGUUGGAGCCUGGGGCUGAUUAGCUACAGUGACUUGCUCUUUCCUUUAUGGUCAUCAUGUUCCUGCCUGAGAUAAAGGAUGGUCUUCAACCAUGAAUGGCCCCUAAGACGGCUGGAGAGCAAGAGACACUCUGGGCCCUUCUUCUCCUUCCGACAGGGCCUCACUGUGUAUCUCCGGCUGGCCUGGAACUCACUAUAUCAGCAGGCUGGGUCUUUGGAUCUACGCCCACAGCUUCUGUAUGACAACCUUGCUUUCUGAGGGACUUCUCCAGAGACUCCGGGGAGCAGGAAUGGUGGGAAAGUCUCCAGAGGACCCUGCAACCGGAGAAGAGGUUUGCUCUGCCAGCCUGUGUGGAGGGUUGUAACAGUGAUAACAGCCCGCACAUUACUUAUGAGGACCUGGAACUCUGCAAGUACGGUGGUGCCAGGGCAGGUGCCUCCUGCAGGUGACCUGGCACCUUAUCUCCCCUACCCUCGGCUCCUUCCUGCCCUUCCUGGCUUACCUCCCACAGCAGAAAUAACCCAAGGCCAAACAUUAACAGUGAAAUCAUAAAAGCACGUGAAGCUCAGAUGGCUUCCAGUGGUCUGGACUCUCUGUGCCCUGUUAUCGGAAAAAUGUCCUCGCCUCCCCAUGGGUGGAGCGGCUGUGACGACAGGCCACCCAGCACUUCAGCCUCUAGACGGCCACCCGAAGAGCUGCCCGAGGAUGCCACUGUUAUCUGAUGUGGAGGGUUUGAAGAGUCCAGAGCAAUGCUUUUUGUGUUGAAAGAGAUACUUUCUGAUGUAUGUGAGCUUGCUGUGGGCUCUAAUGUGCAUCUAAUUUUUAGAGCUUCUAGAUACCUGCAUUGUGUUGAAAACCAUGCCUGCCUUCCAAGUACCCUGGUGUAUGUCCAUCGA